Molecule: ribosomal RNA, 253 nt
Filed under: uncultured prokaryote
Description: partial 16S ribosomal RNA
Rfam family: Bacterial small subunit ribosomal RNA
Source: RNAcentral
ACGUAGGAGGCGAGCGUUAUCCGGAGUUACUGGGCGUAAAGCGUGCGUAGGCGGUGGUAUAAGUGGGAUGUGAAAGCUUCCGGCUAAACUGGAAGAGGACAACUCAGACUGUACGACUAGAACGAGUCAGAGGUUCGCAGAAUUCGGGGUGUAGCGGUGAAAUGUGUAGAGAUCCCGAGGAAUACCAGAAGCGCAGGCGGCGAACUGGGACUGUGUUGACGCUGAGGCACGAAAGCGUGGGGAGCGAACGGGA